RNA transcript from Dinoponera quadriceps, 8929 nucleotides. It is a transcript of the gene named serine/threonine-protein kinase NLK, with no coding region annotated. The transcript has 12 exons. Lineage: Eukaryota; Metazoa; Arthropoda; Insecta; Hymenoptera; Formicidae. The record is from RefSeq and is a predicted model, not a curated record.
UGGCAGCAAGCGGAUGUGCGUUUCGUCGGUGGAGCGCGGCUGGAUUUCCCGUCGUGGCUCUACGCGAGAGACUCUCACCUUUUCUCCCCCUUCCCCCUCUAACUGUCUGUGUCUCUCUCUUUCUGUUCCGUUUCGCUCGUCUCUCUCCCGUCUCGCGGCGUGCAUCGCGCGUGUCAUCCGCGCCGCGAAAGCCUGCGUCGCGUGUGCUUGGUGCUUCUUGGUGUUCGUCUGUCCGCCGCGUGUGCGACGGCUUGCCCUCCGCGAGGAGGUGAUACUACACAACACAGUGGCAGUGGUGGGCCGCGGGUUCUCGCGGGGGGGCCCGUGCGUGCGUGCGUGCGCGCCGCCGAAGGAGAGUCUCGUUCGUCCGUGCACGGGUACGCACAACGCGACGACGACGACGACGUUGGACUCGUCGAGUGGUCGUGGUGUGUGCUUGCACGGCGGAGUAGCAGUUCGCGUCUCCUCGACUCGUCGCGCCUUCCGUCCGCGUCUCCUUUCUCCGUCGCGUGUCUCCUAGGAACAAGCGUCGUCUCCCGCUCUUCCACCGAGUCAACCCUUCGCCCCUGGGACGGUCCUGACGAGGACGCUGCUACGAGUGCGUUUGACAGACGGCGGCGACGGAGAGAAAAAGAGAGAGAGUGGAGCGGCGUGCCGUGAUUGGAGCAGUGGCGCGCGGCGACGGCGGUGUGUGUUCAUGCAUGCGUGCGUAAACGUCAAACAUAACCUGCGGAACGUUCGCUGUCGCGAGAACGGAUUGAAAAAGAACGUGUUGAUCGCAUUAACGGAAACGCGGACAGGUUCCCCCGUGGGAGCGAAGAUAAGGAAAACGGUGACGGCCGGUGCGUGAUCGAGCGAGAGAGAGACAAGGAUACGGCGCGAUAAAGGACGUCGUCGCUGCUUCACACCUCCUCCCUCCCUCGUCUGCGAAGCAGUAAGAGGGUAAGAGACUGCGCGGGCAGUUGACGAAACCGACCGCGUAUCAUCGCCGCGACGAGUGAGACGGAGGAGGGAGAGAGGAGAUCUUACGGUGCGGUAGCGUCAUGCUCGUCGCGUGAGUCGCCACUACUGUCGAGACGCGCGGUCGGGAUCGAUCGAUCGAUCGUUCCGUCGAUCGGUCUGCGCGGAGUCGGGGCCCGUCAGGGACGUCAAGCAACGCGCCCCCGACGAAACGUAAUAACGGUGGCUCGCUGUGCUAGCUGGAGGGCGAGGGGGCGCGCCGCCGUCUCGUGAAGAGCGCGCGGGCCUGCUUUGAUGGCAGUGGUCGGGCCCAGCCGGCACUCGCGGGUGUCCAUGAGCGUGUCGAUACCGCUGAUGCAGGGCGGUGGGGCGGGGGCGACCGGCGCCGCCGGUGGCGGCGGCACCGCGGCCGGGGCCCAUCCGGGUCAAGCGGUCCUCGCGGCGGCCGCUGCCGCCGCCGCCGCGGCCCAGGCGGCGCCCCCCACUUAUUAUCACACCGCGGCACCCGCGCCCCCGCCGCCACCACCCGCCCAGGAUCCCGUCCAGGACAGACCCAUCGGCUACGGGGCCUUCGGCGUCGUUUGGGCUGUCACGGAUCCGAGGGAUGGCAGGAGAGUAGCCUUAAAAAAACUGCCGAACGUCUUUCAAAGUCUCGUGAGCAGCAAACGAGUCUUCAGGGAGCUGAAGAUGCUUUGUUUCUUCAAACACGAUAACGUCCUCUCCGCGCUGGACAUUCUGCAACCACCGCAUCUGGACUUCUUCCAGGAGAUAUACGUGAUCACCGAGCUGCUCCAGAGCGACCUGCACAAGAUCAUCGUCAGCCCGCAGCAUCUCACCCCGGACCACAUCAAGGUCUUCCUUUAUCAGAUUCUACGAGGCCUCAAGUACCUUCACUCGGCCCGAAUUCUCCACAGGGACAUCAAGCCGGGGAACCUCCUAGUGAAUAGCAAUUGUAUAUUAAAAAUCUGUGAUUUCGGAUUGGCCCGGGUGGCGGAGCCCGAUCAGAACGUGCACAUGACCCAGGAAGUGGUGACACAGUAUUAUCGCGCGCCGGAAAUCCUGAUGGGCGCGCGGCACUACACCGCCGCAGUGGACGUGUGGAGCGUCGGUUGCAUUUUCGGCGAGCUCCUUCGCCGGCGGAUCCUCUUCCAGGCUCAGAGUCCCGUGCAACAGCUCGAGCUGAUCACGGAACUACUGGGUUCGCCCACUCUCGAGGAGAUGAGGUACGCGUGUGAGGGCGCGAAAACGCACAUGCUAAGAAGGGCGCAGAAACCACCCUCGCUCACGUCACUGUACAAUCUCAGCACCCAGGCGACGCACGAGGCCGUCCAUUUGCUCUGCCAGAUGCUAGUCUUCGAUCCCGACAAGAGGAUCACCGUGGUGGACGCCCUGGCGCAUCCUUAUCUCGACGAGGGCCGACUGCGGUAUCAUUCGUGCAUGUGUACGUGUUGUUACACGACAAGCGCCGGGAUGCGGCAAUAUAGGGUGGACUUCGAGCCCUCGGCAACUCAUCCCUUCGACGAUCUCUGGGAGCGAAAGCUCACGAGCGUGCAGCAGGUGAAAGAGGAGAUGCACAAAUUUAUAGCGGAGCAACUGAACCCGUCGCGAGUGCCGCUCUGCAUAAAUCCGCAAUCUGCAGCGUUCAAGAGCUUCGCGAGUUAGAGCAAGCCGAUCGCCGAACCAGCGGCCUGUGCCGCGUAUACAUACACGUUACUACUUCUACUACUACUACCACUACCACUACCGACUCAGCUAUCUACCACUGUCAGCUACUAUCGACUACUACCGCUAUCGUCUACUACUACUACUACUACCGCUACUACCACUACUACUACUACUACCAAUCGUGUUACGCCUCCUCCUGAACGAACCGAACGAACCGAGAGUCAGCUAUAGUCGGCGCGACCUCGCUCGCAGAGUUCUGAAGUUCCGGCUUUAAAAGCAUCCAAGUACUCGAAGUGAUACAAAUUAUUUCUCCACGGUGGCUCACCCCUCGGAAUUGCCACCCUCUCCACACCAGUGGGAAUAAAAAAAGUCUUCCCCGUUCCCGUCCCCGAGACCCAAGGACCCGAGGGUGACUUCGCGUCGCACUCCAAGGAGAAGAAGAAUCUUCGCCGACCGGAAGAUAGUAAUUCGCCGGAAGAGAAAGGAAGCGGAGGAGAAGGAGGAGGGGAAAAGGAAGACUAGGGGACUGGAAGCUGCGGAGAGAAAAGAGCCAAGAGAGACAAUAGACUGCCGAGCACUGUAGCCUCAAUUUUUCGACUAGCUGAUACAUCUACAUACACAGGAUGUCGUGAGAAAUGCGCGGAAAAUGGCGAGGACGUUCGACUCGAGGAAUUUGGGAGCUUUCGCGAUUUUUCUCGGUGACGUAUCACUCCGGGAAUUGGGAGAUUAUUCAGCUUCUUCGUAACGGUGAACUUCGCGAAGAAUCUUGAAGUGUUUCCAAUUUUUCCGUGUAAAUAUAUUACCUCUCGAGAUAACGGGAGACUUUUCUUAUUCGCUUUCAAGAAGACGCGCUUCUAAAUAAGUUUCAAAAUUUACCUAAAUUGCAAGAUAGGAGAUUCGAUUUCUCACAGAUUCGGAAUAUUUCACACUCGGAUUACCAAAAUUUCAUUUUAUUCUCAAAAUAUCGCGAAUUAGAUUUUCUCACGAGAUCCCAGCGGUACUCACGAGAUACAAAGUGAGCUCCGAUUCUAAGAAGUCUUCUAAGGAUUAAUAUCGAGAAUUAAUAAAUAUGAAAAUAAGUGAUUUAAGAUUAAGUAAUAAUGUUUCCACAUCCGUCAAACGUUCUUCGGGAAGAUAUCGAUUUCCAAGUUCCGAAUUUGGAUUCCACAAUGACACUUAAUUCACGCCAUACUUCUUCCAUGUAUUUCAUCGUGCAUCCUGUGUUAUGUUGUGUGUAUAUAUAGCAAUAUAUAUUAUACAUAUUAUACGUUGUAUACAUACAACCGGAGGGGGGGAAGAAAAAAGAAAGAGAGAUGUGAGAGACACAUAGACGAACACACACCUACACAACACACAUUAGCCAAUUUAAAACACGAAGUAGCUAAUUAAUUCCGAAAGCGUUGGGCACAGAAAGGGGAGGGAUCGGGAGGGAUUCCCGAGGGCGGAAUCGUGGGGUACCGUGAAAGAAGGAGAGAGAAAGACAGCAGGAGGGGAGAGUAAUAGUUAAAAAUAGCGAAUAGUAAAACGCGUCGAAAAGACGGGCCAGUCCUUUUUUCUCGUUUUUUUCCUUUUUUUGCUCUGUUAGAUUUUACACACGUGUAUGUAUAGGUCGCGCGAGAAUAACUGGCAUUUAAAUAAUCGAAUACGUGCGCGCUUGCGCGGGAGGAAAGUGCCGGAGGGAAUGUCCUCAUCCUGAUCGAGGAUCUUCGACGACGAGGCGCGCUUGAGGAUAUCCCGAGGAGGAUCGAUAUCGCGGCAAAGAGAUCGCUCGGAAUCGACAAGAUGUCUCUCGAAAAUGCCGCCUCGUGAAUGAAACCGUCCUUGCAAGGAUUUCUCUCGAGGAUGUUGCGUGAUGAUAAGGUUAUCGUUUCGAAUCGAACGGCACUAGGACAGCUUAUUGCUCGAAGAUGCUUCGAGCAGCGGGAAGUUAGCACUGAAUUGAUAGGAUAUCUCUCGAGACUGUCGCUGAAAAUAGUGUCGUCCUCGAAAGGAUAUCCCUCGAGGAUGUCGUAAUGACGAGAUUGCUUUGAACCGAGCGGUCCUCGACAGGGUAUUACUCGAGGACACCUCGAAGAGCGAGAAAAUAGCUUAAAAUCUGAUCGUCCUCGAUAAGGUAUCUCGUGAGGAUGUAGCUCGAGAAAAUUAAUCCUCGGCAGGGAUUUUAUUCGGAAAAACCUCGAGGACCAAACGGAGCACUCGCGAAGGCCGCUUCGAAUUAAAUCGAGUCGUUCUGGAGUCGCUCGAGGAUAUUUCGAGCGGCACGAAUCCACUACAUCCCCAAAAGAUGAAGUAUCGUCCGAGGACAUGUUGUAUUCAAUCACGACAUUUAUCGCGGAUCUCUCGACAGAUCGGCGAUAGCUCGGCCAUGAAGAGGAAUCGAAAGGAAGCGGAAGAAGGAAGAGGAGAUCGACGAACCGAACACGACGCUCGUCAUCACAUCGAUCCUUCUUAAGAGAAGACUGGGACAACCGUGAAGAAACUACAAAGAAAGGACUAAACGCGGACGGCGAGUCGUAUAUAAUGGAUAGCGAGAUCGCGACUCACGGCACUUUUCCUCCCUGAUGUCGGCACGACGGGUAAAACGAAGCAUUUAAUUCCACGAGCGACGAGCGUUCGCCGGGAAUAAAGACUCGUAAAGUCUCUCCGAUUAAGGUGUCUUUCCUUGGACGGUAGGAUGGAAGACAGAGAAGAGACGGAGGGAGAGAUAGAGAGACGGAAAUUCGAACGGUUGCGCGCGCGCGACGAGCGAAAAUAGAGGGCGGGAUCGAGGAAUGUCGAGAAAAACGAGAUGAUCGUGGCGACGAGUCAAGGAAAUGCGAAAAUCGUAGAUUCACGUAAAGAAGGCAUGUUAUUCCACAGCGGACAAUGUAGGAUACAUUGCGAAGCCCUCGAUUGUCUGUCGCGUUACGCACUAUCCCGAAAAUUUUACACUCGGGAGGAAGAACUCGCGUCUACGAACGCGCCGGUGAAUUCCGGAAGAGAAAAGAACGAGUCUGUCUUUCGAAACGGCUCGGAAUGGAUGAUUCGACGUCGCUCGACCGACUGGAAGUCGGUUAAGAGCAAAGAAACCAGUUCCAGAUUAACGAAUUCGAGCAGAUUGAAGGAUACGACCAGGGAAUUCUCGAGGGCUCGUCGACGAAAAUUCGUUAAAGUAGCGGGAGAAUGAAAUCGCGUCGUUUCUCGACGAUCGAUUUUCCACGACUCGUUGCCACGAUAGGGCAGGACGAUGGGAAUUCUCCUUCGCGUUCUGCUUCCUUCGUUUCUUUCGCACGGAUUUCUUCCCGACACGUCGCGCCGCGCGUCGUACGUUCGCUCCUUCUCGUCGCUCGAAUGAGCCUCGAACGAUGAGAAUCAGAUUUGGAUCUCAGGCUAGGAUGUAGGAGAAGCUGGUGUGAGGAAGUCCUACGACGACGUCGCCAGUGUCCCGCAGGACUCUCGCGAUCCCGUCGCGCAGGAGAUGAGGGGAGGAGUAUAAGCGCGAGUUCUAUGCGCGAGUAUCGACGUCCGACGACUUUCCGUCGCAGGCCGAUCUCGAAAAUCCCCGUGUCGGUGGGAAAAUGCGCGAUUUUCGUCGCGUCUCCGUUCCUCAAAUACGACGACGAUGACGACUGCGACGAAGACAAAGACGAAGACGAAGACGAUUUUCCGUGCGAGCGCGAGUCUCCCUCGCGUGCAGGAUCGCGAUUUAUUAUUCCAAUAAACACACUGCCGACGUAUCGUGCGAGCGCGACGGUAUCGAUACGAGAGAGCAAGAGAGAAUGAGAAACAGAAUGUAUGUGUGCUUAGUCUGUAUGUUGUGUGUGGAUGUGCGAAGUGAGAGAGAGAUAAUGAAAUGUAUAAAGAAAUCUAGUAGCGGUAUUCUCUAUUGUAUUGGUGAUAUUUGGCCGAUAUCUAUUGAAAAAUUAAACGAUUAAAAAGAAUGGAGUGAUUGUAGCGAGCUGAUGCGAUACUACGCAUUCCGAUUAUCUUAGACGUAUUGAAUCGCGCCAACUUGAUGCUGUAGUUACCGCAAAUAUUUUUCAAUAAUUUAGGUUAUCGGCAACAAAUAUGCCGCAUACAAGAUACCAAGUUUGAGACCGACGUAAUUUUCUUAGUUCAGUCGAGGAGCUUACUUCCAAGCUGUCUUAAAUCUAUAUUUCUAAAUGGACAUAAUGUUGCAAAGUUGCGAAAAGCUCACGAUAAACUCGUAAGAUCGCAACUUGCAUUCGUUAGAAACAAAAUUUAAGAUUGCUAGAAAUGGCUUUUCAGUUUGUCACGUUCACGUCUUGUCAGGAACGAAUCGUCCCGUUCUCGUAGAAAUCGAGAAAGAAAUGAACAUGGAACGAAUUGUAUCGUGAUGAUUCGAACUUGGACUAUUACGCUCGGGCUCAUUAUGCAAUGAGAAGAAGCUACAACGGAGGAUCGAGACGGGAGGAAGCAAUGGAUCGAAGUCGUUUUUCGCGUAAAUAAGUAUCUACGAUUAUUUUCGAACGCGUCUUGGUAAAGGAAGACCGGAGAUGUAUAGUAAGAGCGGAAGGACGCACGGUACACGUAAUUACUGAGUUCUGAGUGUGAUUUUAGAUUAAGGGAUUUUUAGCUAGAUCGCCAGUAGUAGUUCACGGCAGUGUUGGGCGAAAUGUAUUCGUGAGUGACGAAUAAAGAUUUUGAACGCGUUGGUAAAUGUAUCCAUAUACGUAAAAUAUAUAAAGAGUAACAACCGCCGAUAUUUCCCGAUAGUGUGAGAAUGUGCGCAUCAAUAUAAAUGUACUAAUAUACAUCAAGUAUUACGCUAAUACGUACAAGUUUUCAAGCAUUGAAUUUGACGUAGAUGGAAGAGAAGUCAAUCGAUCGAAACUAAAUAAGCUACCGCUAUACAACUGCAUUUAAACGCACUCGAAAACUAUGCGCAAACGUAUGUUCGAAAUCGCGCAUUAUUCGGGAAUACACUUCGUCCAACACUGUUUCACGACGAUACCUUACCUAGGACAAAGCAGUGAAACAUGAAGUAGUAGAUAGUAGCGAUUUAGUGCGAGACACGCCCGCCCACAAUUCGUUUUGGUUCUCUGUCGCUGACCGGCAGAAGGAAAACGCAUGUGUUCUCUUUUUUACACAGUGAUUCGCAUCAGACAACAGAUCGGAUUAAAAAAAGCGAAGAGGAAGAAUAUGAGAGAUCGCGCGGACUUACCUUGUCGCAACUAAUUAAGUAGCCAUUAAUUAAGCGUGUGGUCCACAGAGGAGAAUGCGUUCUAAGAAUGCGAAUCGCCGAGAAAGAAAAGCUCUACUCAUGGAAACGUUAAUCCUUUAUUUCGCUUAUCUUCACGUGACAGUAUUUCUCGUCGUAAAUUUUCCUCUGUUUCGUGCUUCUUUCGCCCAGAGACUCGCGAGAGAUUUUAACAAUUUUAUGCUCCAUAUGUACUCUCUAGAGUUCUCAAUAUUAAAAAGUUUAAUUACAAAAAACGGAGAAGGGUACACGAUCGAUAAAUGUAGAAAGAUAUUUUAGUGAAACGGAGUAUAUUUUACCAUAAAUUUGAUAAAUAUUAGACAUGCGAAAUAAAGGAAUAGCGGGUCACAGCAGUCAGGCAUCGAGAAUCGACGAUAUCUUAAGAAUUCAAAGAACGCGAUUGAGUUUAAUCUGCGACAACGUUGCCGGACCGAUUGAAAUGAUCCUACUUGUUUAAUGUUGAAUGCUACACUGGAUUCAAAUGUGAGUCCCACCAGGUCUGAAUUCCUUGGCCGUCGAUCGUAUACAGAGUCAGAUUGCUUAAACACAUUGCCAAGUGUGCGAGUUAUACUCAAUUAGUAAUAAUGCUAAUUAUCGUAUUAAUACUAUUACUAAUCGUAAUAGUAAUAAUACUUACUGAAUACUUAGUAAAAUGAUUCCUAAUUGAAUCAGUAAAGCCGUCGCCCACAAACGUGUAAUGGGGUCCCUGCGAAAACUCACGCAUCAUUCAAGUAUGAGUUACGUGGCACUCAACGUAUCAAUAUGCGAGACGUGUGAAUCCGAGGAUUUCAACGAAACGAAAGAUCGAGCCGCAGUCUUCGAUCCCUUCUCAAUUCUUGCGUUUGUAUCAUAUAAGUAUAUCCGCCGCACGUACGCGCGCAAUUCGAUACAUGUCGCUGUGAACCGAUAGCGACGAUGGAUAUACGAUUAUCACUGCACUUAUUCGUCUUAUUUUCAACUAUAAUACGUCGAUAAUGCGAACAAUGCUUGAUAUUUUUUCAUUAAAACUGUUAACGCCGGGAGGAAGCGCUGCGUAAUCUCGAUAUUGCGAACUGAAAAUUUUCGUCUCGUGUUUGUCCCGACUUAAAGUCAACAAAAAAAAAA